Molecule: ribosomal RNA, 513 nt
Rfam family: Bacterial small subunit ribosomal RNA
GUUUGAUCCUGGCUCAGAUUGAACGCUAGCGGGAUGCCUUACACAUGCAAGUCGAACGGCAGCACGGACUUCGGUCUGGUGGCGAGUGGCGAACGGGUGAGUAAUGUAUCGGAACGUGCCCAGUAGCGGGGGAUAACUACGCGAAAGCGUAGCUAAUACCGCAUACGCCCUACGGGGGAAAGCAGGGGAUCGCAAGACCUUGCACUAUUGGAGCGGCCGAUAUCGGAUUAGCUAGUUGGUGGGGUAACGGCUCACCAAGGCGACGAUCCGUAGCUGGUUUGAGAGGACGACCAGCCACACUGGGACUGAGACACGGCCCAGACUCCUACGGGAGGCAGCAGUGGGGAAUUUUGGACAAUGGGGGAAACCCUGAUCCAGCCAUCCCGCGUGUGCGAUGAAGGCCUUCGGGUUGUAAAGCACUUUUGGAAGGAAAGAAACGUCGUGGGUUAAUACCCCGCGAAACUGACGGUACCUGCAGAAUAAGCACCGGCUAACUACGUGCCAGCAGCCGCG